GUAGGGAAUCUUCCGCAAUGGACGAAAGUCUGACGGAGCAACGCCGCGUGAGUGAUGAAGGCUUUCGGGUCGUAAAACUCUGUUGUUAGGGAAGAACAAGUGCUAGUUGAAUAAGCUGGCACCUUGACGGUACCUAACCAGAAAGCCACGGCUAACUACGUGCCAGCAGCCGCGGUAAUACGUAGGUGGCAAGCGUUAUCCGGAAUUAUUGGGCGUAAAGCGCGCGCAGGUGGUUUCUUAAGUCUGAUGUGAAAGCCCACGGCUCAACCGUGGAGGGUCAUUGGAAACUGGGAGACUUGAGUGCAGAAGAGGAAAGUGGAAUUCCAUGUGUAGCGGUGAAAUGCGUAGAGAUAUGGAGGAACACCAGUGGCGAAGGCGACUUUCUGGUCUGUAACUGACACUGAGGCGCGAAAGCGUGGGGAGCAAACAGGAUUAGAUACCCUGGUAGUCCACGCCGUAAACGAUGAGUGCUAAGUGUUAGAGGGUUUCCGCCCUAUAGUGCUGAAGU
RNAcentral lists this ribosomal RNA (508 nucleotides) under Bacillus cereus. RNAcentral's name for it is "bacterial SSU rRNA". It matches the Rfam family "Bacterial small subunit ribosomal RNA", at positions 354 to 852 of the family's 1533-position model. The record is from RNAcentral. Lineage: Bacteria; Bacillati; Bacillota; Bacilli; Caryophanales; Bacillaceae.